UUGGCAUAUUUUCUGGCACACAUCCGAUUCCAAAACAUUUCUAACAACUAUUCCGCCUGCUCCUUGGCCACCUCCCCGCCCGGUUGAUUCGCGGUGGGCUUGU
Long non-coding RNA from Drosophila arizonae, 103 nucleotides. NCBI's taxonomy places the organism in Eukaryota, Metazoa, Arthropoda, Insecta, Diptera, Drosophilidae. The record is from RefSeq and is a predicted model, not a curated record.